This 382-nucleotide ribosomal RNA is filed under the name uncultured bacterium. Its description in RNAcentral is "bacterial SSU rRNA". It matches the Rfam family "Bacterial small subunit ribosomal RNA", at positions 28 to 412 of the family's 1533-position model. The record is from RNAcentral.
GACGAACGCUGGCGGCGUGCUUAACACAUGCAAGUCGAGCGGAAAGGCCCUUCGGGGUACUCGAGCGGCGAACGGGUGAGUAACACGUGAGUAACCUGCCCUCAGCUUUGGGAUAACCCUCGGAAACGGGGGCUAAUACCGGAUAUUACUUCUGCCUGCAUGGGUGGGAGUGGAAAGAUUUUUCGGUCUGAGGUUGGACUCGCGGCCUAUCAGCUUGUUGGUGGGGUGAUGGCCUACCAAGGCGACGACGGGUAGCCGGCCUGAGAGGGCGACCGGCCACACUGGGACUGAGACACGGCCCAGACUCCUACGGGAGGCAGCAGUGGGGAAGUAUUGCACAAUGGGCGGAAGCCUGAUGCAGCGACGCCGCGUGAGGGAUGAA